CAAAUAUGAUUGUCCAGAUCAUUCAACAGUACUUCCCUUUUAUAAUUGUGUGAAAAAAGCAGUACCAAUUUUUUUGAACUUAACCGCAUUUUGGCAUCUUGAUCUGAGCGUUCAUUUGUGUCACCAUCGGCAUCGGAGAAACUUCUGCUAAAUAUUGGCAAAGCUUUCUCAAGAUAAUUAUAACAGUUCCACGCAAGGUGUAAGCUGGAUACAGCCCCCUUCCCUCGAGAAGUCUCAAAAGCUCAACGUCGGAUUGUGCGUUUAGUUUAAGCAAGUAUGCUACCAGUGGGCCCACAC
This is a non-coding RNA of Paramuricea clavata, 297 nucleotides long. Lineage: Eukaryota; Metazoa; Cnidaria; Anthozoa; Malacalcyonacea; Plexauridae. The record is from the annotation of a GenBank genome assembly.